ACCCCACAAUAGGUGUCACCUCCUCGCGGUGUGGGGCGGGCAACUCACUCUAUAUGGGUGAGGCUAAGAACACC
This 74-nucleotide non-coding RNA is filed under the name unclassified sequences. The record is from RNAcentral.